This 497-nucleotide ribosomal RNA is filed under the name uncultured bacterium. Its description in RNAcentral is "partial 16S ribosomal RNA". It matches the Rfam family "Bacterial small subunit ribosomal RNA", at positions 28 to 507 of the family's 1533-position model. The record is from RNAcentral.
GAUGAACGCUGGCGGCGUGCCUAAUACAUGCAAGUCGAGCGAACAGACGAGGAGCUUGCUCCUCUGACGUUAGCGGCGGACGGGUGAGUAACACGUGGAUAACCUACCUAUAAGACCGGGAUAACUUCGGGAAACCGGAGCUAAUACCGGAUAAUAUAUUGAACCGCAUGGUUCAAUAGUGAAAGACGGUUUUGCUGUCACUUAUAGAUGGAUCCGCGCCGCAUUAGCUAGUUGGUAAGGUAACGGCUUACCAAGGCAACGAUGCGUAGCCGACCUGAGAGAGUGAUCGGCCACACUGGAACUGAGACACGGUCCAGAGUCCUACGGGAGGCAGCAGUAGGGAAUCUUCCGCAAUGGGCGAAAGCUUGACGGAGCAACGCCGCGUGAGUGAUGAAGGUCUUCGGAUCGUAAAACUCUGUUAUUAGGGAAGAACAAAUGUGUAAGUAACUAUGCACGUCUUGACGGUACCUAAUCAGAAAGCCACGGCUAACUACGUG